UAAUACGUAGGGGGCUAGCGUUGUCCGGAUUUAUUGGGCGUAAAGAGCGUGUAGGCGGUCAGGUAGGUCGGUUGUGAAAACUGGAGGCUCAACCUUCAGAGGUCGACCGAAACCCCCUGGCUAGAGUCCGGGAGAGGAGAGUGGAAUUCCUGGUGUAGCGGUGAAAUGCGCAGAUAUCAGGAAGAACACCCGUGGCGAAAGCGG
RNAcentral lists this ribosomal RNA (204 nucleotides) under uncultured bacterium. RNAcentral's name for it is "partial 16S ribosomal RNA". It matches the Rfam family "Bacterial small subunit ribosomal RNA", at positions 521 to 724 of the family's 1533-position model. The record is from RNAcentral.